CCUACGGGCGGCAGCAGUGAGGAAUAUUGGUCAAUGGACGAGAGUCUGAACCAGCCAAGUAGCGUGAAGGAUGACUGCCCUAUGGGUUGUAAACUUCUUUUAUAAAGGAAUAAAACGAGGCACGUGUGCCUUUUUGCAUGUACUUUAUGAAUAAGGAUCGGCUAACUCCGUGCCAGCAGCCGCGGUAAUACGGAGGAUCCGAGCGUUAUCCGGAUUUAUUGGGGUUAAAGGGUGCGUAGGCGGUUUUUUAAGUUAGUGGUUAAACGUCGGGGCUUCACCUUGAUUUGCCAUUAAUACUGUAAGACUCGAGUUCAGACGAGGUAGGCGGAAUAAGUUAAGUAGCGGUGAAAUGCGUAGAUAUCAGGAGGAAUACCGUUAGCGAAGGCGGCAAUCUGGCUGGAAACUGACGCUGAGGUGCGAAAGCGUGGGUAGCAAACAGGAUUAGAUACCCUAGUAGUC
Molecule: ribosomal RNA, 459 nt
Filed under: uncultured bacterium
Lineage: Bacteria
Description: partial 16S ribosomal RNA
Rfam family: Bacterial small subunit ribosomal RNA
Source: RNAcentral